UUUUAUUCCAUUUUCCUCUAAGUCUGUUAUCUUCAAGGAUUUCUGUUAGAAUUGGUACCUGAAGAGAGUGAAUAAAUUUUUUACAUUUGCUGUAAUUUUUUUCAAAGCGUUAGUGCAUAACAAACCUACUACAAUAGAAAAUGUCUUUAAAGAAUAGUAGUUUGCUUGCAGACCGAGCAGCCCCUGAGGUAAGGCAGUCAAGGCUUCUGUCACAGCAAGAGAUGCUGCUGUAUUUACUGAAAUAUAGAUGAUCCUGUAAGAAACUUUUAACUAUUUAGGAUAAAUAAUUGCCUGUAAGCUGUUGUAAUGUGGUUUUAAGGACUGCUUUUCACAGCGCAGAGUCCCAAAGUACUGCAUUGUGACAGUAAUUCCGGGCAGAUUCGGAAUGGAUCGGCUCACCUUGGGAUUUGGAAUGUGUUGGUUGUGGAGAGCCUCUCUGAGCUCACGAGGAUGUUUUCUUGAUGGUUAUGGCUGCAGGGAUUCUCACUGCUUGGAAAACAUGAGGACGGGGACCAAGAAUCUUUUCGCUCAGUCUUCUGAGGAAAGUUUGGUUCGGGUACAAAAAGAAAGCAAGGAGAGGGGCAAGCUCCAUCCCAUCGCACAAAUGAUCUCUACGUGGAGCUGGAAGAGUAACAAGAGUUCAGAAAUUUAA
Molecule: long non-coding RNA, 652 nt
Filed under: Numida meleagris (helmeted guineafowl)
Lineage: Eukaryota; Metazoa; Chordata; Aves; Galliformes; Numididae
Description: lncRNA (ENSNMEG00000020822.1)
Source: RNAcentral